Molecule: ribosomal RNA, 433 nt
Filed under: uncultured bacterium
Lineage: Bacteria
Description: partial 16S ribosomal RNA
Rfam family: Bacterial small subunit ribosomal RNA
Source: RNAcentral
AACGAACGCUGGCGGCAUGCCUAACACAUGCAAGUCGAACGAGACCUUCGGGUCUAGUGGCGCACGGGUGCGUAACGCGUGGGAACCUGCCCUUAGGUUCGGAAUAACUCCCCGAAAGGGGUGCUAAUACCGGAUAAUGUCUUCGGACCAAAGAUUUAUCGCCUUUGGAUGGGCCCGCGUUGGAUUAGCUAGUUGGUAGGGUAAAAGCCUACCAAGGCGACGAUCCAUAGCUGGUCUGAGAGGAUGAUCAGCCACACUGGGACUGAGACACGGCCCAGACUCCUACGGGAGGCAGCAGUGGGGAAUAUUGGACAAUGGGCGAAAGCCUGAUCCAGCAAUGCCGCGUGAGUGAUGAAGGCCUCAGGGUUGUAAAGCUCUUUUACCCGGGAUGAUAAUGACAGUACCGGGGGAAUAAGCUCCGGCUAACUCCGUG